AGCGAACGCUGGCGGCAGGCCUAACACAUGCAAGUCGAACGAACUCUUCGGAGUUAGUGGCGGACGGGUGAGUAACACGUGGGAACGUGCCUUUAGGUUCGGAAUAACUCAGGGAAACUUGUGCUAAUACCGAAUGUGCCCUUCGGGGGAAAGAUUUAUCGCCUUUAGAGCGGCCCGCGUCUGAUUAGCUAGUUGGUGAGGUAAAGGCUCACCAAGGCGACGAUCAGUAGCUGGUCUGAGAGGAUGAUCAGCCACAUUGGGACUGAGACACGGCCCAAACUCCUACGGGAGGCAGCAGUGGGGAAUCUUGCGCAAUGGGCGAAAGCCUGACGCAGCCAUGCCGCGUGAAUGAUGAAGGUCUUAGGAUUGCAAAAUUCUUUCACCGGGGACGAUAAUGACGGUACCCGGAGAAGAAGCCCCGGCUAACUUCGUG
RNAcentral lists this ribosomal RNA (433 nucleotides) under uncultured bacterium. RNAcentral describes it as "partial 16S ribosomal RNA". It matches the Rfam family "Bacterial small subunit ribosomal RNA", at positions 29 to 507 of the family's 1533-position model. The record is from RNAcentral.